Molecule: RNA transcript, 3262 nt
Organism: Chelonia mydas (Green sea turtle)
Lineage: Eukaryota; Metazoa; Chordata; Testudines; Cheloniidae
Gene name: shootin-1
Exons: 17
Source: RefSeq, a predicted model, not a curated record
CACUUUAAAGCCACUUUAAGGCUAGAGGCGUAAGCGGUCGAGGGGCUUGUCUGCGCAGUUGACCCGAGUAGCUAUUGCCAGGUAAAUUAUUCCACAGUAGCCGCGCGGGUGGAUGCUCUCACUCUGGACGAGCUAGCAGUUUACAGAGGGGUUUGUUCGUUAAAUGUGUGAGUCUCUGAGGUGCCACAAGGACUCCUCGUUGCUCUAGCCCUUUAAAUUCACUCCCUGCCUUACACUGGACUAGCUUCCCCAUGCAGACAAGGCCUUUGUAUAAAACAGAAUCUCUCCCAUAGUAUUUUGUGCCCCCUUUGCACCAGUGCCAAUGAGAUCACAAGGUUCAGGGCCCCUUUAGACCCUCAUCAUUCCUGCAAAUCGCUGGUGGAACCGCCCUGUCCUGUCACAGCUGCUGGGUCCCUACCUUGGUAUGGUUGCUAAGGCUCCCCGGGCUGCAUGCAUCACUGCAGCUGCCAGCUCACAGGAAGAGGGAUGGUUUCGGUUCCCUGUGUGGCUGAGGAAUGGAAACCGCCCAGCCUCUGUGCAGACGGGGGAGGAGACCAGUCAACUCGCAUCAGAGGCAACAGGCAGCACCAGCGUGGAGACACAGCUCCGUCAGCUCGGAUCAGAAUGGAUUGUGCCGGCGACAGCGCUGGCCAACUGCCAGCCAUCCUGGAGUCUGACAGUGAGUCCUCGGAGGAUGAAGAAGUGGCUACGCAUGAAGCCCUCCUCCAGGAGAGGGAUGAAGCUAAAGAGAAGCUGUCUGAGUUUGAGCAAGCAUCCCAGAGGCUGCUGGCUGAGCUCUCGGCGCUGGAGGUGGAGUAUGAAAUUGAAAUAUCGUGUCGCAAACAAGCCGAAGUCUACGCAGCCCAGGUGAACAGGGAGAACAAAAAGCUGAAGCGGAUCAGCGUGGCACUGCUGCCCAUGUUGAACCAGCUUCCCGAGGAUGUGCUGAGUCUGGCCACUGAAGUAGACUCCCCCUCGGACCCAAGCCGAGAUCCAGCAUAUCCGUACCUGCAGCAGAUCAAAGAUUUGCAGGAAAAGGUUUCCAGGCUGCUGGGGGAGAAGAAGGAACUCACCAUCCAAGUGCAGGAGCUGCAGAGCCAGAUCAGAGACCUCGGGGAGCAGGUGGAAGAGGAGCGAGCAGAGAGGGGGUCCCUGCAGGCCGCGAUGGACAGGAGUCACAAGGCCCUGAAGAAGUACAAGAGAGUGUCCCAGAUGGUCGCUCAGGAGUACAGCGAGGCCGUGCAGCAGCUGGAGCUGGAGCAGGACCUGAGGCAGCAUGCAGAGACCUUUGCCCACAAGAUGCUGGUGAAGCAGAAGGAAGCCAACAGGCAGAGCAUGAUCCUGCUCCAGAACAUGGGACCCAACGCCCAGCUGCUCCAGGCCCUGGAGGAGGUGGCUAGCCUGACUGGGAUGCUGGAGGAAGCCAAGCAGGAGCACCAGAAAAAGGUGAAGGGUCUGGAAGAGCAGCUAGAGGAGAGCCAGGAGGAGCUGGGCGCAGUGCGAGCGGCCCUGGCUGCAGCUGAAGCAGAGAAGCUGGAGCUGGGGAAGCAGCUGCACCAGGCGGAGGAGAGGAACAUGGAGUUGGAGGGGAAAGUGACGUUACUAGAAGAGAAAUUGGAGGCAGCUGAAGCCCCGCCUUCUGAACCUGAUUCGCCAGAAGUGGCUCCGCCCCCACCCCCGCCACCGCCACCUCCACCUCCUCUGCCACCGCCAGCAUCUUCCGCCCCCGUGGAUCCCCUUUUGAUGAUCAAGCAAAGGAAGGGGAUACGGCAACAGAAACCCAGCGAACCUGCUACCGAUGACAUAAAAGCUCAAGCAGUGGAGGAAAUGAUGGCCAGGAUCAAGAGCGGGGUUGCCCUGAGACCAGCAAAGAAGGACAGGGCUGCAUUGUCCCAGGAUCGCUCAACAGCUGCCAGCAAACGCAAGAGCACCGUGAUGGAGCUGCAAGGGAUCCUGGGCACAAUGAAAAGGCCGGUCAGAAAACAGAGCUGGCGUAAACACAGCCGAAAGAUCAACGAUGACCAGCUGCAGUCCAUCCUGCAGAGACGGCGCAAGAUGGUGGACUCCUCCACUCCCGCCCAGCUCUUGCCGCUGCGGGCGGAGCUCAGAAAAGAGGUGACAGUGAAACUUGCAAAGCUGUGUCCAGCCCAUGCCCAGAGGAGAAUGCAGCUGUUGUCCAGUUAAGAGCAAGAUCAGUGCACCUUCAGAAAAGCAGGCGAAUGGCUCUCCUGAAUGAAGCAGAGGACAAGCCGGCACAGAGCGAGACUACCUGAAAACCAGCCAUCCUGCUGCACCACAAUACACUGCAUGGCCGCCUGGUCUCGCACCCUGCCAAUGCUCCUUGCAGUACCUGCCCCACCCGCGUAUCUUUCAGUCACGCAAACGUUCAGAGCAUGAGCUCGGCCUGAGGAUGCGGUUCUCGAAUUGGGCUUGUUAGCGCAAAGUGCAGCCAGAUGCACAGCCUGCUUGCUUGCGCAUACUAGCUUGCUCCACUUGCCUUGGUGGUUGCUGGGAGGUGUGGUCAGGAAUCUUAACACUGACAAGCUUCAUAUUGUGGUCCUAGAGUAGAUUUGUCAUUGGCCAGUGGAACGUGGUUUGUACGGCUCAUCCAUCCCUGUGGAUCAGAUUAUCCCAUUAGCUAGCUCCUCUUUCAACGGCCAAACAUAAUUUCACACUCUUCCUGAGGACUGAUGGGCUGCAGCUUAUGGGAGCAUCCGUUCGAGUCCAUUCUUUUCUAACUGAGCUGCUGUGACAAUAACAGAUCCAUCAAUAACAACAUUCAGCCCUGGCAAGGUGUCCUGUCUUUAUCCUCCCCACUGGCAAGAUGGCAAUUUGUUUUUCUUUCUAUGCAGAAGGUUAAUGUGGGAAGCAAAUUGUUUUGAUGCAUCCACACACAGAGAUUGUGCCAAAAUAUCAUGUGGUUCACAAUAAAACCUUGGUAACAGGCACCUUCAAAAUUGGAGAAGCUCAGAUCUGGAGCCAUGCAUUGGCGCUCUGGCACAUCUCUAGAUCUAAUGAUCAGAAGUGGAGUUGGGAGCUCCAGAUCAGUCCUUUAGAAGAGAAUUUCACUGGGGACCUUAGCAGGACAUCUAUCUGUCAUGCUCAAAUCAGCCCUAAGUUGCAGUGUAAGUGCCUGGAUGGUGGAUUUGAUGAAUGGGCAUUUACUUGUUUAGCUGCUGAGCUGAGCAUCUUGGGGGAUCUGAGUGUCCUUCUAAGAAGCCCCACAUUUGAAAUUUGAGCUCUGUACCUUUUAACUAGACAA